Molecule: ribosomal RNA, 2403 nt
Filed under: Staphylococcus aureus
Lineage: Bacteria; Bacillati; Bacillota; Bacilli; Caryophanales; Staphylococcaceae
Description: 23S ribosomal RNA
Rfam family: Bacterial large subunit ribosomal RNA
Source: RNAcentral
GAUUAAGUUAUUAAGGGCGCACGGUGGAUGCCUUGGCACUAGAAGCCGAUGAAGGACGUUACUAACGACGAUAUGCUUUGGGGAGCUGUAAGUAAGCUUUGAUCCAGAGAUUUCCGAAUGGGGAAACCCAGCAUGAGUUAUGUCAUGUUAUCGAUAUGUGAAUACAUAGCAUAUCAGAAGGCACACCCGGAGAACUGAAACAUCUUAGUACCCGGAGGAAGAGAAAGAAAAUUCGAUUCCCUUAGUAGCGGCGAGCGAAACGGGAAGAGCCCAAACCAACAAGCUUGCUUGUUGGGGUUGUAGGACACUCUAUACGGAGUUACAAAGGACGACAUUAGACGAAUCAUCUGGAAAGAUGAAUCAAAGAAGGUAAGUCGAAAUUUUGUUCUCUCUUGAGUGGAUCCUGAGUACGACGGAGCACGUGAAAUUCCGUCGGAAUCUGGGAGGACCAUCUCCUAAGGCUAAAUACUCUCUAGUGACCGAUAGUGAACCAGUACCGUGAGGGAAAGGUGAAAAGCACCCCGGAAGGGGAGUGAAAUAGAACCUGAAACCGUGUGCUUACAAGUAGUCAGAGCCCGUUAAUGGGUGAUGGCGUGCCUUUUGUAGAAUGAACCGGCGAGUUACGAUUUGAUGCAAGGUUAAGCAGUAAAUGUGGAGCCGUAGCGAAAGCGAGUCUGAAUAGGGCGUUUAGUAUUUGGUCGUAGACCCGAAACCAGGUGAUCUACCCUUGGUCAGGGUGAAGUUCAGGUAACACUGAAUGGAGGCCCGAACCCACGCACGUUGAAAAGUGCGGGGAUGAGGUGUGGGUAGCGGAGAAAUUCCAAUCGAACCUGGAGAUAGCUGGUUCUCCCCGAAAUAGCUUUAGGGCUAGCCUUAAGUGAAGAGUCUUGGAGGUAGAGCACUGAUUGGACUAGGGGUCCUCAUCGGAUUACCGAAUUCAGUCAAACUCCGAAUGCCAAUGACUUAUCCUUAGGAGUCAGACUGCGAGUGAUAAGAUCCGUAGUCAAAAGGGAAACAGCCCAGACCGCCAGCUAAGGUCCCAAAGUGUGUAUUAAGUGGAAAAGGAUGUGGAGUUGCUUAGACAACUAGGAUGUUGGCUUAGAAGCAGCCACCAUUUAAAGAGUGCGUAAUAGCUCACUAGUCGAGUGACACUGCGCCGAAAAUGUACCGGGGCUAAACAUAUUACCGAAGCUGUGGAUUGUCCUUUGGACAAUGGUAGGAGAGCGUUGCUUAGAAGUGAGAAUGCCGGUGUGAGUAGCGAAAGACGGGUGAGAAUCCCGUCCACCGAUUGACUAAGGUUUCCAGAGGAAGGCUCGUCCGCUCUGGGUUAGUCGGGUCCUAAGCUGAGGCCGACAGGCGUAGGCGAUGGAUAACAGGUUGAUAUUCCUGAGCUACGAAUCGAAGCCCCAGUAAACGGCGGCCGUAACUAUAACGGUCCUAAGGUAGCGAAAUUCCUUGUCGGGUAAGUUCCGACCCGCACGAAAGGCGUAACGAUUUGGGCACUGUCUCAACGAGAGACUCGGUGAAAUCAUAGUACCUGUGAAGAUGCAGGUUACCCGCGACAGGACGGAAAGACCCCGUGGAGCUUUACUGUAGCCUGAUAUUGAAAUUCGGCACAGCUUGUACAGGAUAGGUAGGAGCCUUUGAAACGUGAGCGCUAGCUUACGUGGAGGCGCUGGUGGACCCUAGCUGUGUUGGCUUUCUAACCCGCACCACUUAUCGUGGUGGGAGACAGUGUCAGGCGGGCAGUUUGACUGGGGCGGUCGCCUCCUAAAAGGUAACGGAGGCGCUCAAAGGUUCCCUCAGAAUGGUUGGAAAUCAUUCAUAGAGUGUAAAGGCAUAAGGGAGCUUGACUGCGAGACCUACAAGUCGAGCAGGGUCGAAAGACGGACUUAGUGAUCCGGUGGUUCCGCAUGGAAGGGCCAUCGCUCAACGGAUAAAAGCUACCCCGGGGAUAACAGGCUUAUCUCCCCCAAGAGUCCACAUCGACGGGGAGGUUUGGCACCUCGAUGUCGGCUCAUCGCAUCCUGGGGCUGUAGUCGGUCCCAAGGGUUGGGCUGUUCGCCCAUUAAAGCGGUACGCGAGCUGGGUUCAGAACGUCGUGAGACAGUUCGGUCCCUAUCCGUCGUGGGCGUAGGAAAUUUGAGAGGAGCUGUCCUUAGUACGAGAGGACCGGGAUGGACGCACCGCUGGUGUACCAGUUGUUCUGCCAAGGGCAUAGCUGGGUAGCUAUGUGCGGAAGGGAUAAGUGCUGAAAGCAUCUAAGCAUGAAGCCCCCCUCAAGAUGAGAUUUCCCAUCGUAAGCUAUAAGAUCCCUGAAAGAUGAUCAGGUUGAUAGGUUCGAGGUGGAAGCAUGGUGACAUGUGGAGCUGACGAAUACUAAUCGAUCGAAGACUUAAUCAA